UACGGGGGUGGCAAGCGUUGUUCGGAAUUACUGGGCGUAAAGGGCGCGUAGGCGGGGAGGUAAGUCGGGUGUGAAAUCCCUCGGCUCAACCGAGGAACUGCGCCCGAGACUGCCUUUCUUGAGUCCCGGAGGGGAAGGUGGAAUUCCCGGUGUAGCGGUGAAAUGCGUAGAGAUCGGCAGGAACACCCAGGGGGAAACCAGUCGACUGGGCAUCUACUGACGCUGAGGUGCGAGAGCGUGGGGAGCGAACCGG
This 253-nucleotide ribosomal RNA is filed under the name uncultured bacterium. Its description in RNAcentral is "partial 16S ribosomal RNA". It matches the Rfam family "Bacterial small subunit ribosomal RNA", at positions 524 to 776 of the family's 1533-position model. The record is from RNAcentral.